RNAcentral lists this unclassified non-coding RNA (2284 nucleotides) under Hevea brasiliensis (rubber tree). The record is from RNAcentral. Lineage: Eukaryota; Viridiplantae; Streptophyta; Magnoliopsida; Malpighiales; Euphorbiaceae.
AGCAUCACGUCUUAGCAUAAUUCAAGAAAGGGUCGCACCCCAAAAAGUGUGAUGUAUACAGACUAACGUGGGAUCAUUUACAAAAGAAAGAUGACUAUCGUAAACUUGUUUAUAUCAAAUCAAAAAAAUGCCCUUUUAGCGCGUAAUCAUUUAACCAAACUUUUGUAAUUCUCUAAUACAUGAACAAUACACUUGUUCAUGUGUACUGUUUUCUGGUGAUCUCACACUCUCACAGUUGGCAUAUGAAAUUUCUCAAAUCGCGGUUCAGUUAAAUCAACUGAUUCAUCAUCAUGUAAACUCCAACUUUUGGAAUUUGAACUCUGGAGCAGCAGAUUUUCGACAUAUGCUGCUGGAAUAACGUCUUCUUUUGGAUCAUUAGAUACUCUACAAUGAAUGAAAGCACAAUUUGGCAACAAACAGUGAGCUGCGCGAUUCUCUGAUGUGAUUUGCUUGAUCUCCUCGGCUUCAACAAAGCCCGAACUUUCUCCAUUACUCUUGUUGUCAUAACUGAAUGAGCCCUUGAAGUCAUCUCUCGAGAAGUGUUUCCGGUUAGAUGUUUCAGGUGCAAUAGUUGACAAAAUUUGAACAACCUCACUCAUAGUUGGCCGAGAAUCAGGGUCCAGUAGAAGACACUCCUUAGCCAAGUAAGCCAUGACCUGCAAUUCUUCCUCUUCAAAUUCUCCAUUCAGAUUUGGAUCAGGCAAUUCUGAGACCACACGUUUACUGUCUAGUAGACGAGGCGUGGCCCAUAUCACGAGGCUCUCUUCUGCUUUGUUGGCUGACUUAUGGAUUGGUUGUCGUCCAGUUAUCAGUUCAAGUAGCACAACUCCAAAGCUAAAAACAUCCGAUUUCAGAGAAGCUCUUCCGAUAAUUGCAUAUUCAGGUGCAAAAUAGCCAAAUGUCCCCUGCAUCCGCGCAGGAGAGCUGGAACAGCUAGGAAUACCAUCAUUUUGGAGGUGCUUUGCCAUACCAAGAUCAGUAAUCUUAGCUCUGUAGUUAUCAUCCAGUAGGACGUUAGUAGAUUUAACAUCGCGGUGUAAGAUUCUUGGUGCAGCUGCUUCAUGAAGAUACUCCAAGCCACGCGCAGCUCCAAAAGCAACUGCAACCCGUGUGCUCCAAUCCAGAUGUCUCCCAGAAGCCCCAUCCAGACAAUCUCUCAGAUUGCCAUUUUCCAUGAAUUCGAAAACAAGCAGCCUCUCUGCAUGUUUACCGUGAUGCUCGGAGCAGUAGCCAAGCAACGGAACCACAUGACGAUGAUGAAGUCUUGAAAUGAGUUCAAUCUCCGUCAAGAAAGCAAAGUCACCGUCCUGCCCUGCCUGAGUUUUAAUUCGUUUAAUUGCCAGAGUUUUUCCAUCUUUGAAAUAACCACGGUAGACGCGGCUGCUUCCUCCCACCCCAAUCAAAUUGGAAUCAGAGAACUUAUUAGUUGCACUCUCUAAGUCAGCAUAUGAAAAUUGAAUAAUCGUUCCAUAAAACACUUCUGGUUUUCUUUUGAAAAGAUUGGAUGCUUUGGGAACACAACCUGUAAUACAAUUGGAGGAACCCGUGUAUCCUCCAUGUUCUCCAAUUGAAGUUGCUUGGCUUAGUAUUAAGUUGGUAGCACUGUUGCAACUUGUAUCUUUGUCGGACGAAAAUAGAGAUCGUUGAAUAGAAUAUUUAUCCCUUCUAUAGGCAUAGCACAACAUCGAAGCAACGAAACCAAGAGUGAUGACCGCCGCACAUAGUAAGAGAAUGACCAAAAUAACUUUACUGGAUAUCUUCUUCUUUGCGGACUGCAUUUCAAGUUGAGUUCCGUAACGACAAUCACAGGCUGUAAAACAACUGCUGUGAUUAUGAUCAGCAGCCACUUUAGGAAAUCCAUCAACUGCACAUAUACAUAUCCAUUUGUUCUUGCUUGAUUCGUCAAUAGUGCAAUCACAUGAUGAUGAACAGUUUUCGGGAACAGAAAAACUUGGGUUGGCGAGACAGCUGCAGGUCCAAUUACUUGUUACAGAUGCAUUAUGCACUUGUUCAUCGCCAACAAUUUUCUGUAUCCACACCAAGGUAAUGAUGAGAGCAAUUGCAGCUUCCUUUCGACCCCUCAUUUCUUGUUGUCAAAUCACAAAGAGUAGUUCAUUCACGAAAUCUUCAUCUCAAGAACCAUUAUUAUCAUCAAUGAUAUCCGGGUAGUUAGUUAGUCUCCUGAUAGAAAGUGAUGCUCAACUAACAGUUGUAAAUGCAAAGAUCGAAGAAUUGAGAUGACAUAGUGUUCGUAACAUUUGGAAGGAAAGAAACACAAUUCCAC